Molecule: unclassified non-coding RNA, 286 nt
Filed under: Hevea brasiliensis (rubber tree)
Lineage: Eukaryota; Viridiplantae; Streptophyta; Magnoliopsida; Malpighiales; Euphorbiaceae
Source: RNAcentral
UCGGCUUCUGCUCUCAAAUGAAGCUUGCGUCUGGCUCUUCGGUUCAGCUCAACUCGAGUAAGUUUUUUUGUUUUCGAUUGCCUUUCUGCAAGAAAUGCAUUGGAUAUAUCCCCAUCAACCAUAUCAUCCUCAUUUCCACCAUCAUUAGCAUUGGCAUCCUCAUCGAUAUUAUCAUCUUCGUUUCCACAAUACACUUCAACGAAAUGAAUAUCUUCUUCACUGAUAAGUUCACCAGGAACAAUAAGUGGUACUGGUUGUGGUCCCAAUUCUUUUGUAUACAUCUUUU